AUGUUUUCCACGGCCAGUGUCGUGGCUUUGGGUGACGGCAACACUGCAAAAUUUUGGACGGACAACUGGCUGCCGGAUGACCGAUCCCUCGCUACAAAGGUUCCAGCACUCUUUUCGUUUGUGAAAGACUCCAAUCUAACAGUCUACGAGGCACUACAUAAUAGCAGAUGGAUCAAAGAUAUCAGGGGCGGUACCUCCACUACGGCUUUAGCACAAUAUCUGCAGGUAUGGGAUAUAACACACGACACUCAAUUGUCGCCAACUACAAUGGACAGACUACAGUGGAAACUUACCGACGAUCAGCGCUUCUCGGUCAGGAACGCCUACGGAAUGUUUUUCAUGGCCAAUGUCCAUAGCACGGAAGACUGGUGGUUGAAGGCCAGGAGCAAGGUCCCCAAGCAGAUGCGCAGGAACUUUGACACGGUCAUCAUUCUCAUCCACUAGAGGUUGUGGAAGGAAAGCAAUGCUAGAAUUUUUGACCACACCGCCAGUAGCGUCGACAGAGUCUUGGACCAGAUUAGAGAAGAUCUUCAAGUCUGGAGGGCAGCGGGGUGUGUUGUUGACCUUGCUAUGUAA
Molecule: ribosomal RNA, 576 nt
Filed under: Triticum aestivum (bread wheat)
Lineage: Eukaryota; Viridiplantae; Streptophyta; Magnoliopsida; Poales; Poaceae
Description: partial small subunit ribosomal RNA
Source: RNAcentral